This is a long non-coding RNA of Ostrinia furnacalis (Asian corn borer), 596 nucleotides long. RefSeq lists it as uncharacterized. Lineage: Eukaryota; Metazoa; Arthropoda; Insecta; Lepidoptera; Crambidae. The transcript has 4 exons. The record is from RefSeq and is a predicted model, not a curated record.
AAAAAGCUCCGUGCGCCCACGCAUCUCGCACUCGGGCGCCGACGCGGGACCGAGCCAGGGUACCCGCGUCCUUACAAAUGUGACCUGCAGCGGUGUGGCACAGGGUGCUGCCAGCGGCUGCAGGCCACCGCGCCCGGUGUGGCGGCCGCCGGCGUCUGCGGACGCCGACCGGCCGCGGGGCUGGCGGCGCGGCUGACUCGGCUCCACGAGAGCCGACACCAGCGGGAGCGCCUUAGUUUUAGUUUCUUUUUUUAGAUUAAGGUACGAGAAUAGCUAUAGAAAUGGGAUUACGCUAUGGCAUGACAAAGUUGUAGCAACUAUUUACUGACAUGAAGAAAAACAAGUUGGGCGGCGUCCGACGGCAUUUGAAUAAUUCCAAUAAUAAUUAAUGUCUGGUACAUUAUUAACAGAAUCGUGUAAUUCGUUCACCAGCACUGUCGACCAGUGCAGAUAAGUUUGCUUCUCCGUUCAAUUAAUCAAUUCCAAAGUCCUGGGAAAAAUGAUAGUCUAAGCGAUAAUAAUUUAAGCUAUUACUUCCUAACCUAGGUUAAGGUUAACACUGCAAUAUAAGUUUUUGUUUUUGUUAACAUUCACAA